CGGGCAUUCACUGGCUUGUUCUGCACUGGCCGGCAGGGAGCCCCCCUGGGCACUUGGCCCUCAAGGCACCCACAGUGGACACAGCUUCCUAACUGGGCCCAGGCAGCCAGCUCCCAGAACAGCACGACCCAGGAAGAGCAAAGGGAAGAAGAAAACACGUUUUGCAGAAAAAUUCCAGGAAGGAGGCCGCCCCUGGCUAAAAGUAAUCCGAGGCCUCACUGUUACUUGCCUGGAGGAUCUCUGAGGGCCAGUUCCUUCUGCCCUUACGGACUCUCUGUUCUUGGUGAUCCCCAAACCAGCCCAGCCUGGCUCGCAUCUCUCCCCACACCGCCCCUCCUCUGCUGCUCCCACGGGCAUCCUGGUCUCUCACGGAAAGUGUGCCCUAGCUCUCCCAGCCCCGGGCGGGCUCUUCCUCAGACACCCACUCUCCCCGCUGCCCCGAAUUGGCCUCCAAAAGUAGCUGGGAUCCUGUCAUUCCUGAUGAAACCCCUCACGGUGCCCCUGGGUCCCGUGGGAACGAGACCUGGUCCCUUUGUAGCCAGACAAGGCCUGACCACGCUCCUUCCCCUUCCUGCCCCGGCUUGGGGACAGCACUGUCACCUUCAGGAGGCGCGCUUUCUCACACACUGCCGGGUCUGCCCUGCCUGCCCCACCUCAGCCUCUCCGGCUCCAGUAGCUCUGUCCUCUCAUUUCCUGGGGGCCGCAGAAACCCGUCUGUCCUGACGGACCACGGUGACUUGGUCCUAGUGAUUUCUGAAUCUAGCUGGGGAGAUACUCAGGCCAUGCCCUGACUCAGAAGGCAGUAGUCUGUGUGCAAGCUGUCUCAGAGAAAAUGCUAGUUGUGUGGCACACUGUGGAAAACCAGAGGGGGCCA
Molecule: long non-coding RNA, 874 nt
Organism: Neogale vison (American mink)
Lineage: Eukaryota; Metazoa; Chordata; Mammalia; Carnivora; Mustelidae
Exons: 3
Source: RefSeq, a predicted model, not a curated record